UCCCCGUUAUCCGGGGCGGUUUCGCCAGAGUGCUCACCAUAACGUGUUAGCAACUGGCAAUAAGGGUUGCGCUCGUUGCGGGACUUAACCCAACAUCUCACGACACGAACUGACGACAGCCAUGCAGCACCUGUGUUCCGAUUCCCGAAGGCACUCCCGCAUCUCUGCAGGAUUCCGGACAUGUCAAGGCCAGGUAAGGUUCUUCGCGUUGCAUCGAAUUAAGCCACAUACUCCACGGCUUGUGCAGGCCCCCGUCAAUUUCUUUGAGUUUUAAUCUUGCGACCGUACUUCCCAGGCGGCGUAUUUAACGCGUUGGCUACGCCACAAAAGGGGUCGAUUCCUUUUACAGCAAAUACGCACCGUUUACGGCUAGGACUAC
Molecule: unclassified non-coding RNA, 379 nt
Filed under: uncultured bacterium
Lineage: Bacteria
Description: contains 16S-23S intergenic spacer region
Source: RNAcentral